RNAcentral lists this ribosomal RNA (404 nucleotides) under Acidobacteriota bacterium. RNAcentral's name for it is "Acidobacteria bacterium partial 16S ribosomal RNA". It matches the Rfam family "Bacterial small subunit ribosomal RNA", at positions 355 to 776 of the family's 1533-position model. RNAcentral also lists the same sequence under 1 other name. Lineage: Bacteria; Pseudomonadati; Acidobacteriota. The record is from RNAcentral.
UGGGGAAUCUUAGACAAUGGGGGCAACCCUGAUCUAGCCAUGCCGCGUGAGUGAUGAAGGCCUUAGGGUUGUAAAGCUCUUUCAGCUGGGAAGAUAAUGACGGUACCAGCAGAAGAAGCCCCGGCUAACUCCGUGCCAGCAGCCGCGGUAAUACGGAGGGGGCUAGCGUUGUUCGGAAUUACUGGGCGUAAAGCGCACGUAGGCGGACCGGAAAGUCAGAGGUGAAAUCCCAGGGCUCAACCUUGGAACUGCCUUUGAAACUAUCGGUCUGGAGUUCGAGAGAGGUGAGUGGAAUUCCGAGUGUAGAGGUGAAAUUCGUAGAUAUUCGGAGGAACACCAGUGGCGAAGGCGGCUCACUGGCUCGAUACUGACGCUGAGGUGCGAAAGCGUGGGGAGCAAACAGG